This 399-nucleotide ribosomal RNA is filed under the name uncultured bacterium. RNAcentral's name for it is "bacterial SSU rRNA". It matches the Rfam family "Bacterial small subunit ribosomal RNA", at positions 362 to 776 of the family's 1533-position model. The record is from RNAcentral.
UAUUGCGCAAUGGGGGGAACCCUGACGCAGCAACGCCGCGUGCAGGAAGAAGGUCUUCGGAUUGUAAACUGCUGUCGCAAGGGAAGAAGACAGUGACGGUACCUUGUGAGAAAGUCACGGCUAACUACGUGCCAGCAGCCGCGGUAAUACGUAGGUGACAAGCGUUGUCCGGAUUUACUGGGUGUAUAGGGCGCGUAGGCGGAUAAGCAAGUCAGUCGUGAAAUACCGGGGCUCAACCCCGGGGCUGCGAUUGAAACUGUUUACCUUGAGUAUCGGAGAGGAAAGCGGAAUUCCUAGUGUAGCGGUGAAAUGCGUAGAUAUAGGAGGAACACCAGUGGCGAAGGCGGCUUUCUGGACGACAACUGACGCUGAGGCGCGAAAGUGUGGGGAGCAAACAGG